AACGAACGCUGGCGGCAGGCUUAACACAUGCAAGUCGAACGCCCCGCAAGGGGAGUGGCAGACGGGUGAGUAACGCGUGGGAACAUACCCUUUCCUGCGGAAUAGCUCCGGGAAACUGGAAUUAAUACCGCAUACGCCCUACGGGGGAAAGAUUUAUCGGGGAAGGAUUGGCCCGCGUUGGAUUAGCUAGUUGGUGGGGUAAAGGCCUACCAAGGCGACGAUCCAUAGCUGGUCUGAGAGGAUGAUCAGCCACAUUGGGACUGAGACACGGCCCAAACUCGAGGGGGAGGGAGCUGGGGGAAGAAUCAGAGACGGAGCGCAGGCGAGAUGCAGAGGUGGGGAGUGUGGGAGGAUGGGCGAGAGGUUGUAAAGGCCAUGCAGCGAGAAAGAUGAAGGGCGUAGGGGGGGAAAAAGCCCGGGCUAAUGGCGUUAACGAGGGGGGUCGGAUAAAAAGAGCGGACCAACUUGAAC
Molecule: ribosomal RNA, 471 nt
Filed under: uncultured bacterium
Lineage: Bacteria
Description: partial 16S ribosomal RNA
Rfam family: Bacterial small subunit ribosomal RNA (bases 20-300)
Source: RNAcentral